This 889-nucleotide long non-coding RNA is filed under the name Capra hircus (goat). Its description in RNAcentral is "lncRNA (ENSCHIG00000001422.1)". Lineage: Eukaryota; Metazoa; Chordata; Mammalia; Artiodactyla; Bovidae. The record is from RNAcentral.
GCCCGCUUGUUCCCCGCUCGCCGUGAAAAGAGUUUUGAAAUGAGUUCUGAAUAGACAGCAUUUUCUUUGUGCGAGUGGUAAAUAACCCAGAGCGGAGUUACCGAGUUGCAGCUUCUGCAUUCUGAAACUCCAUGGAACUUUUUUGUGGGGAGAAAGGCAGGAUGUUUUUUACAGAAUGUGACCUCCCCGGAACACUGGAGGUGAGGAGAAAACGCUAGUGAGAUAACGGUCACUGCUUUGCAUCUGGGAAAACACAGCUUUUAACAAAGCUACAAGAGGAGAGAAGAUUCCUACUUCCCACCCCAAACCCAUGCCUCAUGGAGUUUCCCCAGGUGCUCUUCCCCUGGGUUUGACAUUUCUUUAGGUCUGAUUUAAGAAUCCGUGAUUUUAUGGUGAUCAUUUUCCUGUGCGCAUUUUUUUUCCUCUCCCAUAGAAAGCAAUAGCAUCUCUGAAUGGGGCCGUGUGGAGAAACCCUAAGAAAAACAGCAUAAGAGCAUUUUGGAAUAUAUCCCGCAAAAGAUAACUUUCUACACAUCUGGCAGAGAUUCUCCAGGUAAAGAUUCUAGAAACCAGUCAGAACAUCCAGGAGGCACUUCACAUACCGUGACUAAAAUCAAGACUCUGAUUUCUAUAAAGAAGAACCGUGAUGGGACAUCAGUUUCCAGGAAACAGAAACGAAGAGGGAUGAUGCCCACGUGCAGUCUUGACUCUCUCACUUGUUUCUGGCAUUUCAGCCCUGGAUUAUAGACCUGGCAGAUCCUGCGGGCAGGUGUGUUGAGCAUAUUCUGAGUAGGGUGUAAAGGCCCAUUUCUGUUGUAAACAGUGGUUUAAACCGCCAUCUCCGUUUUUCAGACCUUUUCAUUUGUUUGCAUAUUUUGCAGAAACCAGG